This 230-nucleotide unclassified non-coding RNA is filed under the name air metagenome. Its description in RNAcentral is "partial contains small subunit ribosomal RNA, internal transcribed spacer 1, and 5.8S ribosomal RNA". The stretch from base 1 to 46 matches the Rfam family "Eukaryotic small subunit ribosomal RNA", at positions 1786 to 1831 of the family's 1831-position model. The record is from RNAcentral.
AAGUCGUAACAAGGUCUCCGUAGGUGAACCUGCGGAGGGAUCAUUACCGAGUGUUAGGUGGCGUAUGCCGCCGACCUCCAACCCUUUGUUAAACCAAACCGCGUUGCCUCGGGGGGCGUCUCGCCGUCGCCGGCGAGCACCCCCAGAGGACUACUUAACUCUGCGUCUUUGCGUCGGAGUAUUGAAUAACAAAUCAAUCAAAACUUUCAACAACGGAUCUCUUGGUUCUG